RNAcentral lists this ribosomal RNA (2925 nucleotides) under Escherichia coli. RNAcentral's name for it is "23S ribosomal RNA". It matches the Rfam family "Bacterial large subunit ribosomal RNA". Lineage: Bacteria; Pseudomonadati; Pseudomonadota; Gammaproteobacteria; Enterobacterales; Enterobacteriaceae. The record is from RNAcentral.
GGGUUGUGAGGUUAAGCGACUAAGCGUACACGGUGGAUGCCCUGGCAGUCAGAGGCGAUGAAGGACGUGCUAAUCUGCGAUAAGCGUCGGUAAGGUGAUAUGAACCGUUAUAACCGGCGAUUUCCGAAUGGGGAAACCCAGUGUGUUUCGACACACUAUCAUUAACUGAAUCCAUAGGUUAAUGAGGCGAACCGGGGGAACUGAAACAUCUAAGUACCCCGAGGAAAAGAAAUCAACCGAGAUUCCCCCAGUAGCGGCGAGCGAACGGGGAGCAGCCCAGAGCCUGAAUCAGUGUGUGUGUUAGUGGAAGCGUCUGGAAAGGCGCGCGAUACAGGGUGACAGCCCCGUACACAAAAAUGCACAUGCUGUGAGCUCGAUGAGUAGGGCGGGACACGUGGUAUCCUGUCUGAAUAUGGGGGGACCAUCCUCCAAGGCUAAAUACUCCUGACUGACCGAUAGUGAACCAGUACCGUGAGGGAAAGGCGAAAAGAACCCCGGCGAGGGGAGUGAAAAAGAACCUGAAACCGUGUACGUACAAGCAGUGGGAGCACGCUUAGGCGUGUGACUGCGUACCUUUUGUAUAAUGGGUCAGCGACUUAUAUUCUGUAGCAAGGUUAACCGAAUAGGGGAGCCGAAGGGAAACCGAGUCUUAACUGGGCGUUAAGUUGCAGGGUAUAGACCCGAAACCCGGUGAUCUAGCCAUGGGCAGGUUGAAGGUUGGGUAACACUAACUGGAGGACCGAACCGACUAAUGUUGAAAAAUUAGCGGAUGACUUGUGGCUGGGGGUGAAAGGCCAAUCAAACCGGGAGAUAGCUGGUUCUCCCCGAAAGCUAUUUAGGUAGCGCCUCGUGAAUUCAUCUCCGGGGGUAGAGCACUGUUUCGGCAAGGGGGUCAUCCCGACUUACCAACCCGAUGCAAACUGCGAAUACCGGAGAAUGUUAUCACGGGAGACACACGGCGGGUGCUAACGUCCGUCGUGAAGAGGGAAACAACCCAGACCGCCAGCUAAGGUCCCAAAGUCAUGGUUAAGUGGGAAACGAUGUGGGAAGGCCCAGACAGCCAGGAUGUUGGCUUAGAAGCAGCCAUCAUUUAAAGAAAGCGUAAUAGCUCACUGGUCGAGUCGGCCUGCGCGGAAGAUGUAACGGGGCUAAACCAUGCACCGAAGCUGCGGCAGCGACGCUUAUGCGUUGUUGGGUAGGGGAGCGUUCUGUAAGCCUGCGAAGGUGUGCUGUGAGGCAUGCUGGAGGUAUCAGAAGUGCGAAUGCUGACAUAAGUAACGAUAAAGCGGGUGAAAAGCCCGCUCGCCGGAAGACCAAGGGUUCCUGUCCAACGUUAAUCGGGGCAGGGUGAGUCGACCCCUAAGGCGAGGCCGAAAGGCGUAGUCGAUGGGAAACAGGUUAAUAUUCCUGUACUUGGUGUUACUGCGAAGGGGGGACGGAGAAGGCUAUGUUGGCCGGGCGACGGUUGUCCCGGUUUAAGCGUGUAGGCUGGUUUUCCAGGCAAAUCCGGAAAAUCAAGGCUGAGGCGUGAUGACGAGGCACUACGGUGCUGAAGCAACAAAUGCCCUGCUUCCAGGAAAAGCCUCUAAGCAUCAGGUAACAUCAAAUCGUACCCCAAACCGACACAGGUGGUCAGGUAGAGAAUACCAAGGCGCUUGAGAGAACUCGGGUGAAGGAACUAGGCAAAAUGGUGCCGUAACUUCGGGAGAAGGCACGCUGAUAUGUAGGUGAAGUCCCUCGCGGAUGGAGCUGAAAUCAGUCGAAGAUACCAGCUGGCUGCAACUGUUUAUUAAAAACACAGCACUGUGCAAACACGAAAGUGGACGUAUACGGUGUGACGCCUGCCCGGUGCCGGAAGGUUAAUUGAUGGGGUUAGCGCAAGCGAAGCUCUUGAUCGAAGCCCCGGUAAACGGCGGCCGUAACUAUAACGGUCCUAAGGUAGCGAAAUUCCUUGUCGGGUAAGUUCCGACCUGCACGAAUGGCGUAAUGAUGGCCAGGCUGUCUCCACCCGAGACUCAGUGAAAUUGAACUCGCUGUGAAGAUGCAGUGUACCCGCGGCAAGACGGAAAGACCCCGUGAACCUUUACUAUAGCUUGACACUGAACAUUGAGCCUUGAUGUGUAGGAUAGGUGGGAGGCUUUGAAGUGUGGACGCCAGUCUGCAUGGAGCCGACCUUGAAAUACCACCCUUUAAUGUUUGAUGUUCUAACGUGGACCCGUAAUCCGGGUUGCGGACAGUGUCUGGUGGGUAGUUUGACUGGGGCGGUCUCCUCCUAAAGAGUAACGGAGGAGCACGAAGGUUGGCUAAUCCUGGUCGGACAUCAGGAGGUUAGUGCAAUGGCAUAAGCCAGCUUGACUGCGAGCGUGACGGCGCGAGCAGGUGCGAAAGCAGGUCAUAGUGAUCCGGUGGUUCUGAAUGGAAGGGCCAUCGCUCAACGGAUAAAAGGUACUCCGGGGAUAACAGGCUGAUACCGCCCAAGAGUUCAUAUCGACGGCGGUGUUUGGCACCUCGAUGUCGGCUCAUCACAUCCUGGGGCUGAAGUAGGUCCCAAGGGUAUGGCUGUUCGCCAUUUAAAGUGGUACGCGAGCUGGGUUUAGAACGUCGUGAGACAGUUCGGUCCCUAUCUGCCGUGGGCGCUGGAGAACUGAGGGGGGCUGCUCCUAGUACGAGAGGACCGGAGUGGACGCAUCACUGGUGUUCGGGUUGUCAUGCCAAUGGCACUGCCCGGUAGCUAAAUGCGGAAGAGAUAAGUGCUGAAAGCAUCUAAGCACGAAACUUGCCCCGAGAUGAGUUCUCCCUGACUCCUUGAGAGUCCUGAAGGAACGUUGAAGACGACGACGUUGAUAGGCCGGGUGUGUAAGCGCAGCGAUGCGUUGAGCUAACCGGUACUAAUGAACCGUGAGGCUUAACCUUACAACGCCGAAG